UACGGGGGGGGCAAGCGUUGUUCGGAAUUACUGGGCGUAAAGGGCUCGUAGGCGGCCAACUAAGUCAGACGUGAAAUCCCCAGGCUCAACCUGGGAACUGCGUCUGAUACUGGAUGGCUCGAGUUCGGGAGAGGGAAGCGGAAUUCCAGGUGUAGCGGUGAAAUGCGUAGAUAUCUGGAGGAACACCGGUGGCGAAGGCGGCUUCCUGGACCGACACUGACGCUGAGGCGCGAAAGCUAGGGGAGCAAACGGG
Molecule: ribosomal RNA, 253 nt
Filed under: uncultured bacterium
Lineage: Bacteria
Description: partial 16S ribosomal RNA
Rfam family: Bacterial small subunit ribosomal RNA
Source: RNAcentral